This 253-nucleotide ribosomal RNA is filed under the name uncultured bacterium. Its description in RNAcentral is "partial 16S ribosomal RNA". It matches the Rfam family "Bacterial small subunit ribosomal RNA", at positions 524 to 776 of the family's 1533-position model. The record is from RNAcentral.
UACGAAGGGGGCUAGCGUUGUUCGGAUUUACUGGGCGUAAAGCGCACGUAGGCGGAUCUUUAAGUCAGAGGUGAAAUCCCAAGGCUCAACCUUGGAACUGCCUUUGAUACUGGGGAUCUUGAGUCCGGGAGAGGUGAGUGGAACUGCGAGUGUAGAGGUGAAAUUCGUAGAUAUUCGCAAGAACACCAGUGGCGAAGGCGGCUCACUGGCCCGGAACUGACGCUGAUGUGCGAAAGCGUGGGGAGCAAACAGG